This 513-nucleotide ribosomal RNA is filed under the name uncultured bacterium. Its description in RNAcentral is "bacterial SSU rRNA". It matches the Rfam family "Bacterial small subunit ribosomal RNA", at positions 28 to 375 of the family's 1533-position model. The record is from RNAcentral.
GACGAACGCUGGCGGCGUGCCUAACACAUGCAAGUCGAACGAAGUAAGUUGCUUCACCAAGUGUUGAAUAGCUACCCCCCAAGCGCAUUUGCCAAAGGGUAAGCAAAAAGUACUAUCAAUUAAAUAAAAUGGUGAAACAAAAGAAUAGCGAAGAAGAAGCAAAUGCGCUUCACGCUAAUUCCAAGUACCAACACAAAACAAAUUCAAUGUUUGGUGAAGCAACUUGCUUAGUGGCGGACGGGUGAGUAACGCGUGAACAAUCUGCCCCGUACAAAGGGAUAGCCUCGGGAAACCGGGAUUAAAACCAUAUAACACUUAACUGCCGCAUGGUAGUGAAGUCAAAUCGAUUAAGAGGUAUGGGAUGAGUUCGCGUCUGAUUAGCUAGUUGGUGAGGUAAGGGCGUCACCAAGGCGACGAUCAGUAGCCGGCCUGAGAGGGUGAACGGCCACACUGGAACUGAGACACGGUCCAGACUCCUACGGAGGCAGCAGUGGGGAAUAGUUGCACAAUGGA